UACGAAGGGGGCUAGCGUUGUUCGGAAUUACUGGGCGUAAAGCGCACGUAGGCGGAUUGUUAAGUCGGGGGUGAAAUCCUGAGGCUCAACCUCAGAACUGCCUUCGAUACUGGAAAGCUCGAGUCCGGGAGAGGUGAGUGGAACUGCGAGUGUAGAGGUGAAAUUCGUAGAUAUUCGCAAGAACACCAGUGGCGAAGGCGGCUCACUGGCCCGGUACUGACGCUGAGGUGCGAAAGCGUGGGGAGCAAACAGG
RNAcentral lists this ribosomal RNA (253 nucleotides) under uncultured bacterium. RNAcentral describes it as "partial 16S ribosomal RNA". It matches the Rfam family "Bacterial small subunit ribosomal RNA", at positions 524 to 776 of the family's 1533-position model. The record is from RNAcentral.